Molecule: long non-coding RNA, 1862 nt
Filed under: Nicotiana benthamiana
Lineage: Eukaryota; Viridiplantae; Streptophyta; Magnoliopsida; Solanales; Solanaceae
Description: long non-coding RNA (NBEN_LNC025007)
Source: RNAcentral
UUAUUUACACCCCUAAUAUUCCAAAAGAUCCACUUCAUUGAGUAUGGCUAGUUCCCCCUUCAUCCAGGGGAUGAUCAGCCCACCUAACUGUCCCAACUUUAAAUCUGUUAGACAUCACAAUAGGAGAUAAGGGAGGGAAUUAGUGAUGUUAAAGACUGGGGAGUCUUGUAUAGCAAUCUGCUUCUGUUUGUUCCCACCAUCAGCAGUAGCUAGAGUACUUGUCUCCUUUGGUAACUCUUGGCACUGGAUUUGAUCCAUCUGGUUAUUCUGGACCACUGUGACUGGUGCUUUCACUCUCCAUUCCUGUGUCACCUUGUUUUUCUGUGUGGUUGAGUAGAUUUAGCCAAACAGUUGUGUCCAACCUCCAAACAUUUCUCACAAUACACAUGUUUCCAAUCAUAAUCCACAUCCUGCAUGAAGCUCUUUCCAUUUGACAAAUAGUUGUGUCCAACCUCCAAACAUUUCUCACAAUACACAGGUUUCCAGUUAUACUCCACAUCCUGCAUGAAGCUCUUUCCAUUUGGAUCCAGAAUCUCUAUCUCACUAGGUAGCUUUCUCGACACAUUUACUUCAAUGAGCAAACGAGCAUAUGAGAUUCUGGAUUGCUUAGUAGUACGUUCGUCAGCAAAUAUAGGUCUACCAAGGACACUAGCAAUCCUACUUAAAGAUUUGCUACCCCAACAAGACAUAGGCAAGUUAGGGAACUUGAUCCACAAGGGAAUUUCCUUGUUUUUCUGUGUAGGUUGAGCAGAUUUAGCCAAACAGUUGUGUCCAACCUCCAAACAUUUCUCACAAUACACAGGUUUCCAAUCAUAAUCCACAUCCUGCAUGAAGCUCUUUCCAUUUGGAUCCAGAAUCUCUAUCUCACUAGGUAGCUUUCUCAACACAUUUACUUCAAUGAGCAUACGAGCAUAUGAGAUUCUGGAUUGCUUAGUAGUACAUUCGGCAGCAAAUAUAGGUCUACCAAGGACACUAGCAAUCCUACUUAAAGAUUUGCUACCCCAACAAGACAUAGGCAAGUUAGGGAACUUGAUCCACAAGGGAAUUUCUGAAGGAAAGGCUGCUUUGAAGUCAAAAUCAACAGACCACUGCUUCAAAAUCAUAGGUCUGUUGGCAAUAGUAUAAGGCCCCCCACACAGAAUUUCUUUGGCAUCGUCUAGAGAACUAAAUUUAACAAUAUAGUAGCCCUCAUCAUGAUAAAAUAGGUCAGGCUCAGGAACAUGAGACCAGUGAAGAUUAAUAAAUCUUUUCAUACCAUUAUACCCAGGGCUAUUACCUAGCACAAAUACAACAAGGGCACAUUUCCAUUUCAUUUCUUCCUCCUCCACCUCUUCCUUCACCAGCUGACCAACUGGUUUUCCAUUAACAAGUGUAGGGGGAAUAUACUCUAAUGACAUACCAUUUGCAGCAAGUCGAUUACUCUGGAAUAGACUAGCCCACUGUUUGGGUGGAUCAAUUUUUGCUCCUUCAUCACUACCAGCCUUUGGAACAACAGGUGGUGGUGGUUGUUGCAUGCAGAUCUGACCCCUAUUUUCAUGCUCCAUCGGGACAAUUACUGGACUGAUUGGAGGUUCUGUAACCCUCACAUUUGCUGUUGGUAUCAAGGAAACUCCAGAUGGUUGUGGAUCUACUGUUGCAUGAGGCAAUGAAACAGUUUCCUCAUCAGAAUUCAAUGGAACAGUGGUAACUACCUUUGGUACAGUGCUAACAGCUUUUGGGAAAACAACAUCACUUGCAUAAAUUGGUACUAAUUCUUUCCUUGGGCGACCUCUCCUUCUUGCCAUAACACCCUCUGCCAGGUUUACUUACCUAUGCAGAAGCAGCAGAGAAGAAGCAAAUGAAUCAGCGAAGAAGAAGAUGAG